GAUGAACGCUGGCUACAGGCUUAACACAUGCAAGUCGAGGGGAAACGACGGGGAAGCUUGCUUCCCCGGGCGUCGACCGGCGCACGGGUGAGUAACGCGUAUCCAACCUGCCUCUGACUGAGGGAUAACCCGUCGAAAGUCGGCCUAAUACCUCAUGGCAUCGUCUGCGGGCAUCCAACGACGAUUAAAGAUUUCAUCGGUCAGAGAUGGGGAUGCGUCUGAUUAGCUUGUUGGCGGGGUAACGGCCCACCAAGGCGACGAUCAGUAGGGGUUCUGAGAGGAAGGUCCCCCACAUUGGAACUGCGCCACGGUCCACACUCCUACGGGAGGCAGCAGUGAGGAAUAUUGGUCACUGGGCGAGAGCCUGAACCAGCCAAGUAGCGUGCAGGAUGACGGCCCUAUGGGUUGUAAACUGCUUUUAUGCGGGGAUAAAGUGAGGGACGUGUCCUUCAUUGCAGGUACCGCAUGAAUAAGGACCGGCUAAUUCCGUG
This 491-nucleotide ribosomal RNA is filed under the name uncultured bacterium. RNAcentral's name for it is "partial 16S ribosomal RNA". It matches the Rfam family "Bacterial small subunit ribosomal RNA", at positions 28 to 507 of the family's 1533-position model. The record is from RNAcentral.